CCUGCGCACCAGGGGUAGGUGCCCCCUGUGCCCUGCACCCUGCCUGGCAGCUGGGACCUGCUGAUGGAGCCUUGUGAAGAUGCUGUGGUGCUCAGGGAGGAUCAGGGGCAGCCAGGGCCCACCAUCAGAUGCCCCCAGACAGAAACAGCUCCACUCACCCGCAGCACCACAACUCUGGAACCUGAUGCGAUGACCAGCUCCGACGUGCCAGAUGACAUCGUGGACAUGGAGGGUCUGCUCACCUGGAGCAAUGAUGUGGGAAGUACUCUCCAGGUUCCCCAGGAGAACCCCAGCAGCCCUGCUUCCCCUUGUUUCAUCACUGACCUCCCUGACAACCCCAGGGACAGCAGAGAGCUCAGCACGGAGGGACGGGCUGCCACCAGGGCCCCCAGUGACCCCUUCUGGGGGCUUCCACCAUCCCCUGGGCUCCUGCCUGAGAUGCAGCAUGGGUUGUCGCUGCUGCCCCUCGUCGUGCCACCAGCAAAUCCCCGGCCAGCCCCCCUGGUUGUCACCAAACCUCCCUCACCCCACACCGCACAGCCCAUGGAGGAGGUGCAGAAAAGGCAGCCCCAGGGGGUUCAGACCCACACACCAGCAUCACCAGGCUCUGUCCCCUGCCGGGCAGCGGACAAGAAACGCAAGGACAGUGCCAAGAGGGCCAAGUACCAUGCGCCUGCCAGCACCCCCCAGAAAGGGGAGACCUCCAGCCACAAGCAGCCCACCAGCAGAGCCCCACUCAAGAAAGGAAAGCUGCCACUACGGAAGGAGAGAAAGGGCCGCAAACACCCACAUCAAGUGAAGCUGGCUGGGGUCAGUGCAGGAGCCAGCAGCAGCAGACAAGUGGGCACCUCCAGCGAGCUGCACAGACACUUGCUGCAAUCCAUCCAGGCCCUACACCCGCUGGGGCAGAGGGUGACUGCAGUGGGGCCAGUACGCCAGCCACCCUCUGCGCAGCCCCAACCCACACCCAGCGCUGGGCCUGCUGCCCUCCAGCCCCAAGACAGCAGCACAGACAAGGCAGCACUGGCAUCACCGGACAGCAUGGUGCGAGAGGAGGAUGCUGCCAAGAAGAUGGCGCCGAGCUGCCUGCGCCUGUCCCCGCUGAGGCGCUCACCGCUGCAGAGGGACCAAGCCUCACAGUUGCACGAGCAGCAGCAUCGGCCGCAGCGCUCUGUGGAUUCUGUGCCUUGUGUGGGGCCCCAGGCGGGUGGCAGUCUGGCACCCACACCGCUGGAAGAGUCACUGCCCAUCACAGCCGAGCAGCAGCCCGAGCGGGAGCACAUGAAGAAGGUGGCUCAGGAGGAGCGGGAGCGGGCGGCCCACCAGAUGAAGAUCGGCCCCGUGCAGUUCCUUGUGCAGCGGGAGAUAGACAUGGCCAUCGCUGACCAGUACGGCUACCCAUAACCCUGCACUCCUCGCCGGCCCCCGCAGCACCAGGCAGCAGUGGCAGCAUUCCAGGGGCACAACCAGUGGCCCCAGCCCUCCCCUCCAGAACUGAGCAGUCCUCCACACUGGAGUGGGACGGGACAUUGUUGGACUCCAAACUUGUUGACUGUGAACUUUUUGGGAUGGGAAUUUCGGGGGGUGGGAAUUUGGGGUGGGAAAUUGUUUUGGGGUGGGAUACGGUUGGGUUGGGAAUUUGGGAUGGGAAAUUCUUUCAGGGUGGGAUCUUGUUGAGGUGGGAAUCUUGGGUGGGAAAUUGCUUUCGGGUGGGCUUCUGUCGGGCGGGAAUCUUCUGGACCCUUGCAUGGAAAUUUUGGGGGUGGGAUACUUUUAAGGUGGAAAUUUUAGGUGGGAAUCUCUUGCCAGCAACUUCCUUCUCCUACAGUGUCGCACUGCAUCUGAAUUUGGUGGGGUGGGAAACUGGGGUGGGAAUUUGGGGCUGGACAACUGUUGGUGAGGGGAACUGGGAGGGGAGGGGAAACUGAAGUGGGAUUUUGGCGGGGUGGGUAAUUAUUGGGUGGGAAUUGUGGGAGGGGAUUGUAGGGGUGGGAUAGUGGGGGGAGGAGAAAUCCGAGGGAGGUGGGAAAUUGCUUAGAGGGUGGGAUUUUCAGGAUCAGACAUGAUUGUUAGGAUGGGGGAUAUUAGGUUGGGAAUAUUAGCAUACAAAGCAAUGACUAAGAGAAAUGACAAGUUAUUAAACGCUUUGUGUUCCCUUUGCUACACCUGUGCCUGCAGUCAUUUGUGCAGUGUCAAAGUCCCCUAGCUCCCAUGCCCACCUCCGGGGCAGGAUGGGGCAACACACAUGCCAGCGUCCCUCAGCUGCCACCACCAGCCCCAGCUCUCCCCUCCAAAAUGUUUUGUGCUCACUUUGCUGUGCCUCCGCCUGAAAUCCUUUGUGCAGCGGGAUGCAGAGGGCGUUGAACACAGCUCGCCUGCGCUGCCCGUGCCGGCACCGGGAAUUGCUGUGGGGAUGGGCACCAGGCAGGGCAAGAGCAGAUGGAGGGGGAAUUGCCCCAGGUCACUGUGGCCAGAAGAGACUCUGAGAGUGGCAGCAUGGGCAGUUCCCAUGGAGAGGGGAAGCAGGGGCAGCUGGGCCUGCUGUGCAGAUAUACAGAUACACCCAUAGAUACCUCACAUAUCGUUGUUCUUCUGCCUCCGCAUUCUUGGGUCCUGGUCUUUGGACAGGAACUCAGACAAGCCUGUACAUCCAGAGCAGGAUUUUCCUGACCAUGGCACCUUGAUCCCAGGAUGUGCUCCAUCACGUACUUCUAGGAAAUGCACGUCUGGUGCUGCACAAAGGCCCCUGAAAGUAAGGCCAGCCUCGCAGGCUUGGACUGCUCCCACGCUCCCCAGCACUGCCUCUAAAAUCUCAGGGAACACAGGCUCUCUCAGACUCUGCCUGCAGCCCAAUAGCACAGACUGCGUCCCCUGUCUCACUUUAUGCUGCCGUGUCAGAGGACAAAGAGCUGAAGGCACAGGCUGCAACAGGAGACACACAGAGCCUUCACACCACGGCGUGCUGCCUGCCUUUCAUCAGCCAUUCCCAGACCUUCCAGGAAGACAUGCCCUCGUCUGGACACAGGCCAGUCCAAAUUAAACUCUUUCUCCUAACGUUUCUCCUAAGAGCCUAACUGUGGGAAGUAUUUGAUGGACAGUGGGCAUAUUUAUUAGAACAUGCUCGAGUAAUCCCUGGAGUGACCUUGGAGGCCUGAGACAAGGAACAGCUGCUGUGUUGCAAGGUCGAACAUCUAUGCCUCCAGGUUGUGCUUUACGGGACUGCUAACCACUCUCUAACUGCAAGAAUGCCUAUGUGAUGAUAUCCGCUGUCCAAUUAACAGUGUUGUGGCGCGCGACGCCUACCUGAUGCUCUAUAAAUGUUGUAGUCGAAUUACAAUAAAUAAGCACUACGCGAUAACCA
Molecule: long non-coding RNA, 3361 nt
Filed under: Numida meleagris (helmeted guineafowl)
Lineage: Eukaryota; Metazoa; Chordata; Aves; Galliformes; Numididae
Description: lncRNA (ENSNMEG00000004144.1)
Source: RNAcentral